Molecule: long non-coding RNA, 476 nt
Filed under: Capsicum annuum
Lineage: Eukaryota; Viridiplantae; Streptophyta; Magnoliopsida; Solanales; Solanaceae
Description: long non-coding RNA (CANN_LNC021785)
Source: RNAcentral
GACAUUGGAUUUUGUGAAGUGUAGGAUCUUUGGACUUGUGGUAUUUGGACUUGUGAAGGGUUUGGUGGACAUAGUCUAUCUACCCCCGCUUUUAUUCUAGUCAUGUGACCCUUCAUAGCAUCCAUAUCAUUCCAUAAGGCAUCAUGACUAUCUUCCAUUUUUCAGGCCAAGGCAUCAUGGUUACUCUUCAUGUCUCGGUCCAAGGCCUCAAUUUGAGCCAUCAAGGCUCCAAUAGCAUCAUUUCCCAAAGAUUGGGCAGAAGUACCCCCGGAUUCCAUGGAAAAAUGUACCUACAAAGUGCAAAAAACAGCAAGCAAAACAACCUACAAAACGAACAAACGAUUUAGUUCAAAAGCCUCACUUCACUCACACUCAACCUCACCUCACACUUGGUUUCACAAGUGUUGGAGAAGCGGCAAUACUUGGCAAGUUACUUGAGAGGUGAGAAGCUUUGGAUCGGAAUUGAUCUUGGAUUG